CUGGUUUAGAGAAUAAACCACAUAAUCAGCUUUACUAGAUGAAUAUGUCAUUAAGGAAUGAUAAAAUGUUUAAAAAUGAAUCCUGCUUGGACCGACAUUUAACCUAUCUCUUCCAAGCACACUGUUCCUGAAUCGAACCCCCCCCACCUCCCCAAAAGGCACUAUAUAAAAUAUUUUACGUAACAAUUCUGAUAAAUUAAAUUUGUUCAGACUUAGCAGUCAUCAGAUCUAUAGAACAUUUUUGUUUUCCCUUUACAAAUUUUGCAAAAUAUCUGCACAGACAGCAAAAAAAUAAAAUUUAUUUGCUGUAAAUUUAAAGCAAAACCACAAUAUCAAGUAAAAAAAAAAAAAAAAAGUUUACACUUCCUUCUGUGUAUAUAUGAAUAAGAUAUCAGUUGUUCUGAGCCCAAAUUCCUUUCAUCCUAAUUAUAUUUGUUUAAGGAAGCCUGUAUGAGUGUUAGAUUCUUU
Pelobates cultripes (western spadefoot toad) is the source of this 468-nucleotide non-coding RNA. The record is from the annotation of a GenBank genome assembly. Lineage: Eukaryota; Metazoa; Chordata; Amphibia; Anura; Pelobatidae.